AGUGAACGCUGGCGGUAGGCCUAACACAUGCAAGUCGAACGGCAGCACAGUAAGAGCUUGCUCUUACGGGUGGCGAGUGACGGACGGGUGAGGAAUACAUCGGAAUCUACUUUUUCGUGGGGGAUAACGUAGGGAAACUUACGCUAAUACCGCAUACGACCUACGGGUGAAAGCAGGGGAUCUUCGGACCUUGCGCGAUUGAAUGAGCCGAUGUCGGAUUAGCUAGUUGGCGGGGUAAAGGCCCACCAAGGCGACGAUCCGUAGCUGGUCUGAGAGGAUGAUCAGCCACACUGGAACUGAGACACGGUCCAGACUCCUACGGGAGGCAGCAGUGGGGAAUAUUGGACAAUGGGCGCAAGCCUGAUCCAGCCAUACCGCGUGGGUGAAGAAGGCCUUCGGGUUGUAAAGCCCUCUUGUUGGGAAAGAAAAGCAGCAGGUUAAUACCCCGCUGUUCUGACGGUACCCAAAGAAUAAGCACCGGCUAACUUCGUG
This 492-nucleotide ribosomal RNA is filed under the name uncultured bacterium. Its description in RNAcentral is "partial 16S ribosomal RNA". It matches the Rfam family "Bacterial small subunit ribosomal RNA", at positions 29 to 507 of the family's 1533-position model. The record is from RNAcentral.